This 253-nucleotide ribosomal RNA is filed under the name uncultured bacterium. Its description in RNAcentral is "partial 16S ribosomal RNA". It matches the Rfam family "Bacterial small subunit ribosomal RNA", at positions 524 to 776 of the family's 1533-position model. The record is from RNAcentral.
UACAGAGGGGGCAAGCGUUGUUCGGAAUUACUGGGCGUAAAGGGCGCGUAGGCGGCCUUCUAAGUCGAACGUGAAAUCCCCGGGCUCAACCCGGGAACUGCGUCCGAUACUGGAAGGCUUGAAUCCGGGAGAGGAUGGCGGAAUUCCCAGUGUAGAGGUGAAAUUCGUAGAUAUUGGGAAGAACACCGGUGGCGAAGGCGGCAUCCUGGACCAACACUGACGCUGAGGAGCGAAAGCCAGGGGAGCAAACGGG